CCCUCCUCUCCGCCCGGAUCGCGGUGGCCGCCGCCGCCGACUCCAAGAUCGACAACCUCCGUGACGCCGUCGCCAAGCUCGGCGAGAUCAGCGAGAACGAGAAGGCCGGGUUCAUCAGCCUCGUCUCGCGCUACCUCAGCGGCGAGGCCGAGCAGAUCGAGUGGAGCAAGAUCCAGACCCCCACCGAUGAGGUGGUGGUGCCCUACGACACCCUCGCGCCC
Triticum dicoccoides is the source of this 221-nucleotide long non-coding RNA. RefSeq lists it as uncharacterized. The transcript has 3 exons. The record is from RefSeq and is a predicted model, not a curated record. NCBI's taxonomy places the organism in Eukaryota, Viridiplantae, Streptophyta, Magnoliopsida, Poales, Poaceae.